AUACGGAGGGUCCAAGCGUUAUCCGGAAUCAUUGGGUUUAAAGGGUUCGUAGGCGGGUCAAUAAGUCAGAGGUGAAAUCUUGCAGCUUAACUGUAAAAUUGCCUUUGAAACUGUUGACCUUGAAUUACUGUGAAGUGGUUAGAAUAUGUAGUGUAGCGGUGAAAUGCUUAGAGAUUACAUAGAAUACCGAUUGCGAAGGCAGAUCACUAACAGUAUAUUGACGCUGAUGAACGAAAGCGUGGGUAGCGAACGGGAUUAGAUACCCCAGUAGUCC
Molecule: ribosomal RNA, 274 nt
Filed under: uncultured bacterium
Lineage: Bacteria
Description: partial 16S ribosomal RNA
Rfam family: Bacterial small subunit ribosomal RNA
Source: RNAcentral